CUGGAGGGUAAUGCACACAGAGAGAAGUGGGGACGGGCAGGCUGUCAGAGACUGAGCACCACUGGAGCAGAGAGGACCUUCAGCAGACAGAGGAGAGACAUUCCUAUUGCCACAGCAGAGAUGUUAACGGUUUCUGCCGCUCGCCUGCUGACAGCACCCAGCACCCAGCACCCAGCCACACUCCUGCGCAGGUGUUGAGCUUCCGGAGUCUCCAACUGAUUCUCUAGCAGUGUCUGUGAUCCUCUGGCUCUGACACUGAUCCUGCUCUGGGCCUUUUCAGGAAAUUGUUCAUCUCCCACCAGGCGGAGGAAAAAAGCGACCGGCGCCGUCGCCUGUAGCCACGCCCACUCGCAUGACAUCCCCCGCAGGCCACGCCCCGCGCACCUGUCCGCCAGGUUCUGCGGGAGAGAGGGGAGCUGGGUUUAGUGUCUUCGAGCAGGACUCGAUUCGCACUUAAUAAUGGGAGUAUAAACUUUGGUGUGUUCGGGCAGGACAAGCUUGGCUCAGCUGCUGGAAUCAUCAAUGAAACGAAGUUCCAGUCUUCAUUCUGGUCGCUGCCCCGACAGAUCCAUUGGAGAAACAGUAACGUGUCGUAUGUUUCUGUGCUUUUCCGUGUACUGUAGUUGCGUGCAAUUAUUUUUGUACACUGUUUAUUUGUAAAAGCUUUUAGCGUGAAUGUAUCCGUGCUUUGACACUUUGUAAUUUAAAUCCAUGUUACUUUUCACUUCAGAUCCUGUGCAUCUAUCGUAUGUAAUGGAAUGCGUUGUUUAAUGUUGCAUGCUAAUGUUUUUGUACUCUGCUUACUUGUAAAAAGUCUUUAGUGUUAAUGUAGCCUUGCUUUGACGCAUUGUAAUCUAAAAGGUGUUAAUUUUCAUUUCGAAUCUGUGCAUCGCUCGUACUGGAAUGCUUUGUUUUGUAUGCAACUUUCGCUCAAUAAAUUGUUGAUUGGA
Long non-coding RNA from Lepisosteus oculatus (spotted gar), 950 nucleotides. RefSeq lists it as uncharacterized. The record is from RefSeq and is a predicted model, not a curated record. NCBI's taxonomy places the organism in Eukaryota, Metazoa, Chordata, Actinopteri, Semionotiformes, Lepisosteidae.